CAAUAGCGUAUAUUAAAGUUGUUGCAGUUAAAAAGCUCGUAGUUGGAUUUGUGGCGUACGGUGUGUUCCGGGCACUUGUUGUCUGAGUAACCUGCUGUUGCCAUCCUUGGGUGGAACCUGUGUGGCAUUAGGUUGUCGUGCAGGGGAUGCCCAUCAUUUACUGUGAAAAAAUUUGAGUGUUCAAAGCAGGCUUAUGCCGUUGAAUAUAUUAGCAUGGAAUAAUGAGAUAGGACUUUUUUGCUAUUUUGUUGGUUUGCGCAAAGAGGUAAUGAUUAAUAGGGACAGUUGGGGGUAUUCGUAUUCCAUUGUCAGAGGUGAAAUUCUUGGAUUUUUGGAGGACGAACUACUGCGAAAGCAUUUACCAAGGAUGUUUUCAUUAA
This 380-nucleotide ribosomal RNA is filed under the name uncultured eukaryote. Its description in RNAcentral is "partial 18S ribosomal RNA". It matches the Rfam family "Eukaryotic small subunit ribosomal RNA", at positions 592 to 976 of the family's 1831-position model. The record is from RNAcentral.